UUAUCGGUGGCUCAGUCCCUAUAGAUUUUCUUGACAGGUUAGCUUACCUGCAGGAGUAUUGUAAAAAUUGCUGAUUGACAAAAAGGAAAAAAAGAAACAUAAAAUAUUGGAGUAACCGUUAGAGAGAUUUCUUCCGGCUAUCCUGUUUCUAAAACCUUUAGCCUUUGCGAAACUCCAAUCCAAACUCAAGCAACAAUGGCUUCAAGCCCAGCCAAACUAGUUCGCAAAUCUCCCUUGCUGUAUCGUUACGUACAAUUUUCUCGCAAACCCACUUCACAUUUCAGUAGUGCCCCCAAAAUUCCACCUUGCUCCACUUCUAUAAGCAGUAGGGGCUUCAGCUUCAGAUGCUGCUAUCACUCAAUUUCUUUAACGUCGACUACUGUGUAUAAAGAAUUGGGCCACUCUAAAAUUGGUUUUAGACAACUGGGUUCUGAUCAUUUUCGCCUCUUUGCUGUAUCUGAUGGUGGCUCCGGCGGGGGAGGUAGUGGGAAUAGUGGUUCAGGUGGCGGAAAUUUUGGUGACGGUGGUAGUGGUGCUGCCGGAGGUAGUGGUAGUGGCAAAAACUGGUCGUUUCUGUUAUGGUACUUGUCACUUCUUGAAAAAUAUCCUGUGUGGACAAAAGCUGUGACAUCUGCAUUUUUGACUUUCAUUGGAGAUUUAACCUGCCAGCUUGCAAUUGAACAAGUACCUUCACUAGACUGGAAGAGGACAUUUCUGUUCACAUUGUUGGGGCUGGUUUUGGUGGGUCCAACCUUGCACUUCUGGUACCUGUACUUGAGCAAAUUGGUCACAAUUCCUGGAUCAUCUGGCGCUUUCUUGCGCCUUUUUCUUGAUCAGUUUCUUUUCUCUCCCAUUUUCAUUGGAUUUUUCUUAUCGACAUUGGUAACACUGGAGGGAAGGCCAUCACAAGUAAUUCCUAAGCUUGAGCAGGAAUGGUUCUCUGCGGUUGUGGCCAAUUGGCAAUUAUGGAUUCCUUUUCAGUUCCUUAACUUCCGAUUUGUACCACAGCAAUUUCAGGUCCUUGCUGCUAACUUUAUUGCGCUAAUAUGGAAUGUGAUUCUUUCAUACAAAGCUCAUAAAGCAAUUCUUACGAAAUAGGUAUAAGUUAGCAGGAAAUGACAGGAUAUCCUUUAUUGCGAACUUGAAGCUCUGAGGUUUUUGGUGACACUACCGGUGUAACCAAUAGCUGAGGCUUGAGUCACCAGGAGGAGUACAAAAACUGUUGACGCCACUUACUGCUCUGACACUGUCAUUUCUUUACAUGUUUGUGUUUUGCAGCAUCCAAGUUAUGUGACUCUCUAGAUUCCCUUCAACUCACUGCACCGAAGAUUGCUUGAACUUCUUAAUGUUGCUGAGGAAAAAUGGGUAGUGUAAUGACAUUAGCAGAAUGUACUGCUUUCUUUGUUGAUUGUUCUGGUAUAUUUUUGUGUUUAGAAACAGCUGCACUAUUGGUAUGGUGAAGUUGAUUUAUGUGGAGGCGUGAGAUGGGUAGCGCAAUGACUAUUUAGUUGAUUUAUGUAUUGCUUUCUUUGUUGCUUGUUCUGGUACAUUUGUAUUCAGAAAAAAGUUGCAUUAUAGGUAUGAUGAAGUUGAUUUAUGUGGAGGCAUAAGAUGUAUUCUGUUGUAAGUGAAUUUCUAACAUCUCAUUCUUGUAAA
Molecule: RNA transcript, 1656 nt
Organism: Coffea eugenioides
Lineage: Eukaryota; Viridiplantae; Streptophyta; Magnoliopsida; Gentianales; Rubiaceae
Gene name: protein SYM1
Exons: 8
Source: RefSeq, a predicted model, not a curated record